GACGAACGCUGGCGGCGUGCCUAAUACAUGCAAGUAGAACGCUGAAGAGAGGAGCUUGCUCUUCUUGAAUGAGUUGCGAACGGGUGAGUAACGCGUAGGUAACCUGCCUUGUAGCGGGGGAUAACUAUUGGAAACGAUAGCUAAUACCGCAUAACAAUGGGUGACACAUGUCAUUUAUUUGAAAGGGGCAAUUGCUCCACUACAAGAUGGACCUGCGUUGUAUUAGCUAGUAGGUGAGGUAACGGCUCACCUAGGCGACGAUACAUAGCCGACCUGAGAGGGUGAUCGGCCACACUGGGACUGAGACACGGCCCAGACUCCUACGGGAGGCAGCAGUAGGGAAUCUUCGGCAAUGGGGGCAACCCUGACCGAGCAACGCCGCGUGAGUGAAGAAGGUUUUCGGAUCGUAAAGCUCUGUUGUAAGUCAAGAACGAGUGUGAGAGUGGAAAGUUCACACUGUGACGGUAGCUAC
This 472-nucleotide ribosomal RNA is filed under the name Streptococcus vestibularis. RNAcentral describes it as "bacterial SSU rRNA". It matches the Rfam family "Bacterial small subunit ribosomal RNA", at positions 28 to 483 of the family's 1533-position model. Lineage: Bacteria; Bacillati; Bacillota; Bacilli; Lactobacillales; Streptococcaceae. The record is from RNAcentral.